CGCCUUGGUGCGCCUUGAACCUUUAAUAACUAUGGGUUUAUAAUAUGCUGGAUAAUGUAAGUUUUCCCUGCAACUUGUAGGAUGUAUUUUCUAGGUGAGGAAGAGUUAUUACUAAGUUUUAGAGGAACAAGUGUACUGGAAUGAAAGAAACAGAGAGUUUGUUAACUCUGUUUUUGGAACGUGGAGAAGGGUAAAAUGCAAAGAUAACAAUUGUGAUACCCCAAAUCCCUCAGUUAAAAAAAAAAAAAAUCGAGAUGAUGUAUGUAUAGAGUUCUUAGUGAACUACUACUUUUUAAGAAUGGGCAACCUGGUCAAGCCACCCUUGGUCCAAUUGUUAGGUCAAUAGUCAACACGAGUUUGAAUCAUGGAAGUUACUAAUAAUAGUCUAAAUUAGCUUGAAUUAUGAUUGUGGUAUUAGAGCAACCAUUGGGCACAGAAGUGUAGAACUAAGCAUCGUGUAAGAAUAAGUUAUACCGUGGAAAGUCAAUGUGAGCCACCUCUAGGAUCCACAUUGGGCUAAAAUUAUUGGGUAUGCAAGAGAUUUGAAUGGAGUCAGCUACAUUCUAGUCCAACAAGGAUGUCAGGGGUAUGGACUAUGUAGCCAAUUCCCAACUAUUGGGAUGAUAUAUAAUCAAAGGUUAGUGUAGAUUCCUAACCUGUAAUUGUCCACCCACACUAAGUUAAAAAAUAAAACCUCAUGGAUUAUGAUUGUGGCAUUAUGCCAAAUAAAUAAAAAUUGCCAUAACAGCCAAAAAAAAAGGGGAAAAAAAAUGGUGGGUGGACAAUUACGCCUCAUAACAUAUCCUACUCAACUAACUUCUUCAUGUUUGAGGCCUCAUUUUCUGUGUGUGCACAGAGAGCUAAAGAAUCUCAUGACAUUCUAUUCUCUGUCUUCUUAUUGUGUGCUAGAGUAUGUAUCAUGUCAGCACUCUGGAUUCAGGGAUGAAUUAAGAGAUGCUAUAUCACCUUUUGUUUUGCUACAUAACAUUACUUGUUAAUUGUGCAUGGAAACAAUUCAUGUGAGAUUCAAUGACUUCUUUACUAUGAUUCGCUAUUUUUUUCCUGUUUGCAUAAUAUGUAAUUUGCCAAAGACAUCGUGAUUUUUUGGAACCUAUUAUUGACUCUUUUCAGGCUCUUGAUGCUGAAAGCGUGGAUAUGGAAAUUGAUUUGUCUAAUCUGGGUACUGUCAACACAGUAUUUGCUGCAUUAUUCAGCAAGCUUGGUGUCCCUAUCAAAACUACAAUUUCUGCUAAUGUUCUGGAAGAAGCUCUAAAUGGAACUGUCACUGUCAGACCCCUUCCUAUUGGAACAUCAGUUAGUGGAAAGGUGGACAAGCAAUGUGCCCACUUCUUUGGUGUAACAAUAAAUGAACAACAAGCAGAGUCAGGGAUUGUUGUGAGAGUAACUUCAACCGCACAAAGCAAAUUUAAGGUUGUUGAAUUAUAUUUGCAAUGUCUAUGAGGAUCUUAUUAGCGCUUCCUUGGAUCUGUGUUUGAAAUAUGGGUCUUUUGUGCAAAAACUAAAGCUUGACGUUGCACAUGUAAUUUCAGUUACUUUAUUUUGAACAAGAUGCCAAUGGUGGCUAUGGUUUGGCAUUACAGGUACUUUCCAUUUCUUUUGGAACUUUCCAGUUUUUCUACUAUUUACAUCCCUGCCCACUUUCUUUUUUGACUUCUCUCAUCUUAAUACUUCUUUCGAAAAGUUUGCUAAAUUCUUGAAGUGGUGUAUGAAUGUAAAGCUGCCACGAUAGAUCAAUAUGUAAAUUGCUGGUAUAGAUAAAAGUUGCUGGCUUGCUUUGAAUUUGGAUAAUUAUGGUUUUGAUUAUUAUGUUUAAUCUGAACUAACUGAAACUAAAAAUUAGUUAACAUAAUUACUGCAUUAAUUUGUAAUUUGUAAUUUGUUAUUUGCAAUUACAAAUUUCAGCUGUGAGUGCUCGAAUUUACCGUUUGAACAUGCAGGCAUUGCAAAAUUAUGUUACACUUAAAAAAAUUAGAUAACAAAGGAGGGAGACGGUCAAUGACUGUUUCAUCGAAAAGAAAACUAGAACGGAAGUAGAUCAUGCAGAUAGCAAAAGAUAAUAAACUAAGCAAAAACAAAAAAUGUAGUGCAGUAGGCAGUAAGAAUGAAAAAAAGAGAAAAGGGGAAGAGGGACAUCAGAACACUUAGGACCAAAAGGAGGAGGAGAAUAAGGAAAAAUGAAGAAACUGGCCAGAGAAGAGUGCAUACAAAACCAAAUGAUGAUGAAGAGGAAAACGACUGAAUCAAGAAGAAGAAGAAGACGUAGACUGACCUAUUUUGAUUAUUCAAGUCACUGGGGAAACAUGGUAGAAUGAAAUUAGGGCAUCAAUUCAAUUGAUUCUUUUUAUCUUAAUUCCAGAAGGCCUCUGAAGCACAUGACUUGGAGCCUCACUUGGAGGUGUGUACUGAGGAUUGUUUCUUACCUCAUUCUACCAUGGGUAUAAAUCCUGGUCUAGGGGUAACAAUUUGGAUGCAAAUCAUGUCUGGCUUAAUGUCAGAACUAUAUUAAAUAUUCUCGAUAAUUUCAUAUUGCAUUUAUACCUAUAAUUGCCACUCCUACCAUAGGGAAUCAUUUUGCCUUGUACUGAGGCAGGGCUUUGAUAACUAUUCUCAAGGGCAUAUGAGGUAUUUGCUGCAACUCUUCACUUUAGCUGCAUACCCUUUUUAGAUACAUAUUGGACAUUUACAGUGGAUGUGGGUGCUUGUAUAUGAUACUCCAAUCACAAAAAAACCAAGAAACACAUCAGACAUGUAUGUGUACUAACCCUUGUCCAUUUCUGUUAUAUGGAACCCAAGCCUUUUUAUUGGAUAAAUAUUAUACAAUUUCUAGCUAUUUUCUGUUAUAUGGAACCUUGUUGUGGUACUUACAUGUGGCUCUAGAUCCAUCAUUUUUCAAAUGGGACUCUGGAUAAUCAUAGAGGCUUUGGAUGAUGACACAUAUUGACUUAAUUUUGCGGUGGUGAAGGCAUGUAUAAUAAAUGUAUGUUAAUGUUGAUUCCCUAAAAAAUCUUUGGAAUCAUAUCGAGAUCAAUUAGAGGUUGGCACAUACCACUUGAUAUUGUUCUACAAGCCAUCAAAGUAGCUCUUGGAAAGGUAAUGGACCUUCAAACACAGAGACCAUGAAUCAGGGGAUGCAUAUCACUGUUCUCCUUUGGAUUAAAAGAAUGCCAGAAAUGCUUUUAAUAGGUUGUUUGAUUCCCCUGGAACUCUUGGACUUGGCAAUUCUUUUGUAUCUUUUCUCUGAUGGUUCAAUGCAGAAUAAUGGGGGAAUAUAAUGAUGGAUUAACAUUUCCCGAUGCAAUGGUGAAGUUAGUUUCUUUGUUAGUAAGAUAGCGCACCUUGUGUUUGAGAUGAGCUCCUUGUAUCAGAUGAUUGAGCUAAUCUUCACAGAGGUGCCAAUGGUGUUUCAUGAUGAGUUAUAAAUUUUUCUCUGAUAAUCUUUAUUGUGUUGCUGCUGACUAGCCCUUCAGUUUAGGUGGAAACUUAUGAGGGUUCUGGAUUGAGUUUCAGAAGUUGGAAGUUUGGCUACUUGGCAAAAAGCAACUAUUGCUUCCAAAAGAUUGUUUUACAUUUUGAACUGUCCACUUCUUCAAUCAUCCCUUGGUUUUACCUUCCUCUUCAAUGUUGUGAUAGUAUGGAAGCAUCAUUUAUGUGCUCUUUAAAGGUUUCUUAGGAUAAUUUCAGGUAAGGACAAAGAGAACACUGGCCAUUUUGGAUGUUGGAAUUUCCAUUGUUGAAGGGAUUGAAAUCAUCAGAAGGUGGGUUUCUUUCCUUAAGGAGCCAAUUCCUCCUGUGGAAUUAUAAUCCAGAGAAAAAAUAGACAGCAUGUAAAUUCAUGGUAUUUACCUUCCAUCUACGAUCAUCCUUUAUUGAUAGUAAAUAACUUACCAUUACUCGUUUGUCUGCCCAAUCUCCAGUUCUUGGUGUGCAUGGGGCCAUCUGUUAUAUAUUGAUUCAAUCUUGGUAGUGCAUUAAAACUUUAAGCCGCAUUAUUACUUUUACAUUUUGCUUAUAUGAUAUAUAAUGCUACCAUUGUUGAUAUUUCAAUCAAUUCUUAUUUUGCAUUAGCGUGAAAUUUGAAUUUGAUGAGAAGGUUGUGGAUAUUGCUUUCUUAUUUCUUUGUGAGGUUAUGAUGCAUAUAUUUUCUGAAACACUGAAAACAUCUCGGAUUUCCCUGAUGUUCAAUCUGACUUUUGAAGUUCUGACAAUGGUAUUGGCUCUUGUGUGGAGCUUUUGUAGAUUUAUUAGAAUUUUCCUUCACUCGGACAUCUGGUUAUUGCAAAGAAAAUAUUAUACGGAGAUGUUCUUAAUGUGAUUUUAUGGAUAGUUUUAGCAUGUGUGUUUAAACCAUUUGCACAUUUUGGCUGUCUAUGAUGAAUACCUUUUCAACUUGACAACUGCACAUAAAUUAUCAUUGUCUUUA
RNAcentral lists this unclassified non-coding RNA (4441 nucleotides) under Hevea brasiliensis (rubber tree). Lineage: Eukaryota; Viridiplantae; Streptophyta; Magnoliopsida; Malpighiales; Euphorbiaceae. The record is from RNAcentral.